CCUACGGGAGGCUGCAGUCGAGAAUCAUGCACAAUGGGGGAAACCCUGAUGCUGCGACGCCGCGUGGGGGAAUGAAGGUUUCGGGAUUGUAAACUCUUGUCACGUGGAAGCAAAUUACAAAGCUUGUAUCACAAGAGCCAGAGACGGCUAACUCUGCGCCAGCAGCCGUGGUAAUACGGAGGUCUCAAGCGUUGUUCGGAAUCACUGGGCGUAAAGUGUGCGUAGGCUGUUGCGUAAGUUGUAUGUGAAAGGCGCGGGCUCAACCCGCGGACGGCAUAUGAUACUGUGAGUCUAGAGUGACGGAGAGGCAAGCGGAAUUCUCGGUGUAGCAGUGAAAUGCGUAGAUA
Molecule: ribosomal RNA, 347 nt
Filed under: uncultured bacterium
Lineage: Bacteria
Description: partial 16S ribosomal RNA
Rfam family: Bacterial small subunit ribosomal RNA
Source: RNAcentral